This is a non-coding RNA of Pelobates cultripes (western spadefoot toad), 464 nucleotides long. The record is from the annotation of a GenBank genome assembly. NCBI's taxonomy places the organism in Eukaryota, Metazoa, Chordata, Amphibia, Anura, Pelobatidae.
UUUUAUUUUUUUGCACACACUGCCUUUCUCUAAACAAAUGUUUAUUAUUAAGAUGGGGUUUUUCCUGUAGCACUCCCUGGGUGCAGUCCUCCCCCUCCCCCGUGUCUUUUAUGUAACAGGGUGGGGGUUGCCGAGGUAAUAGUGUUUGCAGCUUUAUACACUGUAUCUCUGCAUAGACUGCAAUAUCUUCCUCCACCAUCAUUCCACCAUUGCCAGCAGCCAAUAAGCAGCAACUCAGCCCAUCCCCCCCGUCACCUUAUACAGAGCACAGGGAAACCGGAGAGGGGUGCAACUGUGCAUGGUCACAGAAUAUCUGAAACUGACAGAUCAUCUUUUAAAAUAUAUCCGCCAUAGUUAGAGUGACCCUGCGGACAUACAUCCCAUUUAUAUUGGCGUGCAUGAUUUCCAUCUAUGUCUGUAAUGCAGCAGCCAGCUGCUCGUUUGUAAUUGGAAAAGGCUAUUAA